GGCCGGGACUAGUGUUGGAAUUUAGACCCGGUAUUUAAAUGGAACCGGGACUAAAUGUCAUUCCCCAUAUUUGAACUCUUCUUCCCCUGGCCGAGCCCAUCGAUCUUCACUCUUUUGUUGUGUUCUUCAUUUGGAGUUGUUUGUUCUUGCUCUCAUCUCCGGCUAUUGAUUCAUUUCAUCAUUUCUACGCCGUCAUCGACUUGUUAAGAGGUCACUAGCUUCAUCUUCUCAACAUUUAGCAGCGGCAUAUGUCAUUUCCUAGUGUUAUGUAUGUUGUUUUUU
This 282-nucleotide long non-coding RNA is filed under the name Sorghum bicolor (sorghum). RNAcentral's name for it is "long non-coding RNA (SBIC_LNC003157)". The record is from RNAcentral. Lineage: Eukaryota; Viridiplantae; Streptophyta; Magnoliopsida; Poales; Poaceae.